This 460-nucleotide ribosomal RNA is filed under the name uncultured bacterium. RNAcentral describes it as "partial 16S ribosomal RNA". It matches the Rfam family "Bacterial small subunit ribosomal RNA", at positions 338 to 795 of the family's 1533-position model. The record is from RNAcentral.
CCUACGGGUGGCAACAGUGAGGAAUAUUGGUCAAUGGACGGAAGUCUGAACCAGCCAUGCCGCGUGCAGGAUGACGGCUCUAUGAGUUGUAAACUGCUUUUAUAUGAGAAUAAACAUCUCUACGUGUGGAUCUUUGCAUGUACCAUAUGAAUAAGCAUCGGCUAACUCCGUGCCAGCAGCCGCGGUAAUACGGAGGAUCCGAGCGUUAUCCGGAUUUAUUGGGUUUAAAGGGUGCGUAGGCUGUUUGUUAAGUCAGCGGUGAAAUAUCGGGGCUCAACCCCGUAAUUGCCGCUGAUACUGGAGGACGUGAGAGUAGUUGAGGUAGGCGGAAUGUAUGGUGUAGCGGUGAAAUGCUUAGAUAUCACGCAGAACUCCGAUUGCGAAGGCAGCUUACUAAGCCAUAACUGACACUGAGGCACGAAAGCGUGGGUAGCAAACAGGAUUAGAUACCCGAGUAGUC